UAAAGAACACUCUUUAAAAAAAAGAACCGUGGAACAAUGAAUUAAAAUCUGUACCUGAUCUCUUUAGGUAUGGUGCUGGGUGCAGAUGCAGUGUGGCUCUGGAUAGCACCUUAUGGACAGGGUCUUGCCUCACCCAAGCUAGAGUGCAGUGGCCUUUGAAGCUUACUACAGCCUCAAACUUCUGGGCUCAAGUGAUCCUCAGCCUCCCAGUGGUCUUUGUAGACUGCCUGAUGGAGUCUCAUGGCACAAGAAGAUUAAAACAGUGUCUCCAAUUUUAAUAAAUUUUUGCAAUCC
Molecule: long non-coding RNA, 294 nt
Filed under: Homo sapiens (human)
Lineage: Eukaryota; Metazoa; Chordata; Mammalia; Primates; Hominidae
Description: non-protein coding GAS5:30
Source: RNAcentral